GCAAAAUUACUCAUUUUCAAGAAUCAAUUACAGUAACUUAACUCCCAAGUUGGUAGGAUCCAAAUUACAAUUUUCAAGUUCAACGGAAAAAGUAAAGUCUUAUACAUACAUCAUUAUUCUCGUCUCAUUUCCAUCAAUUCUUUAUGAGUUAAUCUACUAAUAACAGUAAACCAUUCACAAAAUUAUAUGAAUCGAGCUUGCAUACCCCAUAUAUCGCUCAAACCCUAGCAGCAACUGCAGGGGCAACAGCUACGGCAGCAGCAUUAGCGGCACCGCCGCUUAAGAAAGAGAGAAACCCAGUAGCGGGAGACUCUUGAUCAUCAAGGAAAAGAUCCUCAGGAGCCCUAAAAGCAGCAUGUGUACACACAAUUCCAAGACCAACCAUCAAAGCAGAAACAAGCACAGCUCCUACAGAGGUAAGGAAGAUCACAACCACAGUAGAGACAAUAAGCAAACCCAGCGUCUCCCUUUCAGAAAACUGUCGACCAAAUAGAACCAAAGGCGGAUCGGAAGGACGGAAAAGGUAAAGAAAGAGCCAAGCGGCGAGAAGGCCAGAAAGAGUAAGAAGGGAAAAUGGGUUUGUAAUGAGGGAAAAGGCGAGAACAACAGCAAGGAGAGAAAGGUAAUUGAUACGGAAAUAGGUGUAAUUUUUGCGGAUACGGAGAGUGGCGUCGGAGAUAGAUUCCGGUUUAGAGAAAGCAGACCGGUCAAGGAGUUCGGACCAUGGCCGGCGAUUGGCAAAACCGGUUUGGACGGUGGUGGAGAUGUGGUUGAUGAAUGAUCGGAAUGCCGGAGUUGGUCCGAUCUGUUGGGUAGUGUCGGCGGCGGUGGAUUGUGAAGUAAUUGGGAGGAUUGCUGGUGAAGAAGCCAUUUUUGAUUGUGUGAAAAAUAUGAGAAGAGGAGAGUAAAUAAGAGUUAAUAUUUUU
This 926-nucleotide unclassified non-coding RNA is filed under the name Hevea brasiliensis (rubber tree). The record is from RNAcentral. Lineage: Eukaryota; Viridiplantae; Streptophyta; Magnoliopsida; Malpighiales; Euphorbiaceae.